AGUGAACGCUGGCGGCAGGCCUAAUACAUGCAAGUCGAACGGCAGCACAGUGGAGCUUGCUCCCUGGGUGGCGAGUGGCGGACGGGUGCGGAAUACAUGGGCAACUGCCCAGUCGUGGGGGAUAACGUAGGGGAACUACCGCCAAUACCGCCUGCGCCCUUCGAGGGAACGUCGGGGACCUUCGGGCCUGGCGCGAUUGGAUAAGCCCAUGUUGGAUUUGAUCGUUGGGGGGGUGAAGGCCCACCAAGGCGACGAUCGGUGGCUGGUCGGAGAGGAGGAUCAGCUACACGGGAAUGGAGACACGGCCCAGACCACAAUGGGAGGCAGCGGAGGGGAAUAGUGGACAAGGGGCGGAAGCCUGACCCAGACAUGCCGCGUGAGGGAAGAAGGCACUCGGGUUGUAAAGCUCUUUUGUCCGGGAAGAAAAGCAUCGGGCGAAUACCGCGGUGUUCUGACGGUACCGGAAGAAUAAGCACCGGCUAACUUCGUG
RNAcentral lists this ribosomal RNA (490 nucleotides) under uncultured bacterium. RNAcentral describes it as "partial 16S ribosomal RNA". It matches the Rfam family "Bacterial small subunit ribosomal RNA", at positions 30 to 507 of the family's 1533-position model. The record is from RNAcentral.